RNAcentral lists this long non-coding RNA (1416 nucleotides) under Sparus aurata (gilthead seabream). Its description in RNAcentral is "lncRNA (ENSSAUG00010005634.1)". Lineage: Eukaryota; Metazoa; Chordata; Actinopteri; Spariformes; Sparidae. The record is from RNAcentral.
AUGCCUAAUGGUUUGUCUGACUUUUUUCAGCAGGGUACAUAUCUGGGCCACAUACAACUAACCACAAAUAGCCCACAUUUGGCAUGCCAUUACAUAAACGGUGCCAUCAUUGCCAGACCUGGCCCACAUCUGGCUAACAUUCUAUUUACCAGGUCAGAAAUAGGCCAAAAGUGCCGGCUUGAUGCCAGAUCUGGCCCAGACCUGUCUGUUACAGAUCUGGGCCACAUACACCUAACCACAAUUGGCCCACAUUUGGCAUGCCAUUACAUAAACAUUGCCAUCAUUGCCAGACCUGGCCCACAUCUGGCUAACAUACUAUUUACCAGGUCAGAAAUAGACCAAAAGUGCCGGCUUGAUGCCAGAUCUGGCCCAGACCUGUCUGUUACAAAUCUGGGCCACAUACACCUGACCACAAUUGGCCCACAUUUGGCAUGCCAUUUCAUAAACAGUGCCAUCACUGCCAAACCUGGCCCAGACCUGUCUGUUACAGACCUGGGCUACAUACACCUAACCACAAUUGGCCCACAUUUGGCAUGCCAUUACAUAAACGGUGCCAUCAUUGCCAGACCUGGCCCACAUCUGGCUAACAUACUAUUUACCAGGUCAGAAAUAAGCCAAAAGUGCCAGCUUGAUGCCAGAUCUGGCCCAGACCUGUCUGUUACAGAUCUGGGCCACAUACACCUAACCACGAUUGGCCCACAUUUGGCAUGCCAUAUCAUAAACGGUGCCAUCACUGCCAGACCUGGCCCAAAUCUGGCUAACAUACUAUUUGCCAUGCCAGAUGUAGGCCAGAGGUGCCGGCUUGAUGCCGGAUCUGGCCCGGACCCGCUUGCUAUGUGGGCAGUUAGUGAAGAAAACUGUAUGAUUGCUGGAUUUAUUGAAACUCCAUUUUCAAGAUUAACUUUCCAGGAUAAACUUGAAAUUGUCCAGAAACUUCGACCAUCAUCCGCCUUGCCAGGAUUGAUGCAAUCUAGCAAGAGCUACCGGAGACAUUUUCAAGCUAGCAGCUACAGCCCGUGGCUAAUGGGCAGCCUGUGCACCAACAAGCUGUACUGUUGGGAUUGCCUGCUUUUUAAUCCCAAUAAAGGGCCCUGGUGUAGCGCAGGAUUCAAUAAUUUGAGUUGCUUAACCAAAGCAGCUCAAAAACAUCAAUCCACUCCAGGACACCUGCGUGCUGCUGUCUCUCUGAAAACGUUUGGAGACACGCAGAUUGACCUGCAGUUGAGUAAGCAACAGCGGAGAGAGACCAUUGUGCACAACGAGAAGGUGAGACAAAACAGGGAGAUCCUGAAACGGCUCAUCCACACUGUGGUAUUUUUGGGAAAGCAAGAACUAUCUUUUAGAGGACAUGAUGAGAGCAGAGAAUCAGCGAACAAGGGGAAUUAUUUGAAGUUGUUGGACUACUUGGCUGAAUAA